This 485-nucleotide ribosomal RNA is filed under the name uncultured bacterium. Its description in RNAcentral is "partial 16S ribosomal RNA". It matches the Rfam family "Bacterial small subunit ribosomal RNA", at positions 30 to 506 of the family's 1533-position model. The record is from RNAcentral.
AUUGAACGCUGGCGGCAUGCCUUACACAUGCAAGUCGAACGGCAGCACGGGUGCUUGCACCUGGUGGCGAGUGGCGAACGGGUGAGUAAUACAUCGGAACAUGUCCUGUAGUGGGGGAUAGCCCGGCGAAAGCCGGAUUAAUACCGCAUACGAUCUACGGAUGAAAGCGGGGGACCUUCGGGCCUCGCGCUAUAGGGUUGGCCGAUGGCUGAUUAGCUAGUUGGUGGGGUAAAGGCCUACCAAGGCGACGAUCAGUAGCUGGUCUGAGAGGACGACCAGCCACACUGGGACUGAGACACGGCCCAGACUCCUACGGGAGGCAGCAGUGGAGAAUUUUGGACAAUGGGCGAAAGCCUGAUCCAGCAAUGCCGCGUGUGUGAAGAAGGCCUUCGGGUUGUAAAGCACUUUUGUCCGGAAAGAAAUCCUUGGCUCUAAUACAGUCGAGGGAUGACGGUACCGGAAGAAUAAGCACCGGCUAACUACGU